This 582-nucleotide ribosomal RNA is filed under the name uncultured bacterium. Its description in RNAcentral is "partial 16S ribosomal RNA". It matches the Rfam family "Bacterial small subunit ribosomal RNA", at positions 357 to 1375 of the family's 1533-position model. The record is from RNAcentral.
UGGGAAUUUGGACAAUGGGCGAAAGCCUGAUCCAGCAAUGCCGCGUGUGUGAAGAAGGCCUUCGGGUUGUAAAGCACUUUUGUCCGGAAAGAAAUCCUUGGCUCUAAUACAGUCGGGGGAUGACGGUACCGGAAGAAUAAGCACCGGCUAACUACGUGCCAGCAGCCGCGGUAAUACGUAGGGUGCAAGCGUUAAUCGGAAUUACUGGGCGUAAAGCGUGCGCAGGCGGUUUGCUAAGACCGAUGUGAAAUCCCCGGGCUCAACCUGGGAACUGCAUUGGUGACUGGCAGGCUAGAGUAUGGCAGAGGGGGGUAGAAUUCCACGUGUAGCAGUGAAAUGCGUAGAGAUGUGGAGGAAUACCGAUGGCGAAGGCAGCCCCCUGGGCCAAUACUGACGCUCAUGCACGAAAGCGUGGGGAGCAAACAGGAUUAGAUACCCUGGUAGUCCACGCCCUAAACGAUGUCAACUAGUUGUUGGGGAUUCAUUCCUUAGUAACGUAGCUAACGCGUGAAGUUGACCGCCUGGGGAGUACGGUCGCAAGAUUAAAACUUAAAUGAAUUGACGGGGUCAUAGCUGUUUCCU